Molecule: ribosomal RNA, 327 nt
Filed under: Streptococcus sp. M81218J1
Lineage: Bacteria; Bacillati; Bacillota; Bacilli; Lactobacillales; Streptococcaceae
Description: bacterial SSU rRNA
Rfam family: Bacterial small subunit ribosomal RNA
Source: RNAcentral
UAGAGUUUGAUCCUGGCUCAGGACGAACGCUGGCGGCGUGCCUAAUACAUGCAAGUUGAACGCAACAAAGACACCAGAGCUUGCUCUACCGUUUUUGUUGAGUAGCGAACGGGUGAGUAACGCGUGGGUAACCUGCCUUAUAGCGGGGGAUAACUAUUGGAAACGAUAGCUAAUACCGCAUAACAAUAGAGAUUGCAUAAUCUUUAUUUGAAAGUGCCAACUGGUACACUAUGAGAUGGACCCGCGUUGUAUUAGCUAGUUGGUAGUGUAAUGGACUACCAAGGCGAUGAUACAUAGCCGACCUGAGAGGGUGAUCGGCCACAUGGA